This 253-nucleotide ribosomal RNA is filed under the name uncultured bacterium. Its description in RNAcentral is "partial 16S ribosomal RNA". It matches the Rfam family "Bacterial small subunit ribosomal RNA", at positions 524 to 776 of the family's 1533-position model. The record is from RNAcentral.
UACGUAGGGUGCAGGCGUUAAUCGGAAUUACUGGGCGUAAAGCGUGCGCAGGCGGCUCCUUAAGUCAGAUGUGAAAUCCCCGGGCUCAACCUGGGAACUGCAUUUGUGACUGUAGAGCUGGAGUGCGGCAGAGGGGGAUGGAAUUCCGCGUGUAGCAGUGAAAUGCGUAGAUAUGCGGAGGAACACCGAUGGCGAAGGCAAUCCCCUGGGCCUGCACUGACGCUCAUGCACGAAAGCGUGGGGAGCAAGCAGG